AUUGAACGCUGGCGGCAUGCCUUACACAUGCAAGUCGAACGGUAACGGGCCUUCGGGUGCCGACGAGUGGCGAACGGGUGAGUAAUACAUCGGAACGUGCCCGAUCGUGGGGGAUAACGAGGCGAAAGCUUUGCUAAUACCGCAUACGAUCUACGGAUGAAAGCAGGGGUCCGCAAGGCCUUGCGCGGACGGAGCGGCCGAUGGCAGAUUAGGUAGUUGGUGGGAUAAAAGCUUACCAAGCCGACGAUCUGUAGCUGGUCUGAGAGGAUGAUCAGCCACACUGGGACUGAGACACGGCCCAGACUCCUACGGGAGGCAGCAGUGGGGAAUUUUGGACAAUGGGCGCAAGCCUGAUCCAGCCAUGCCGCGUGCAGGAUGAGGGCCUUCGGGUUGUAAACUGCUUUUGUACGGAACGAAAAGCCUUCUUUUAAUACAGGAGGGUCAUGACGGUACCGUAAGAAUAAGCACCGGCUAACUACGUG
RNAcentral lists this ribosomal RNA (482 nucleotides) under uncultured bacterium. Its description in RNAcentral is "partial 16S ribosomal RNA". It matches the Rfam family "Bacterial small subunit ribosomal RNA", at positions 30 to 507 of the family's 1533-position model. The record is from RNAcentral.